CUAUUACUCCCUCCGUUUGGAAAUACUUGUCAUCAAAAUGGAUAUACCUACAACUAAAAUACAUCUAGAUACAUCCAUUUCAAUGACAAGUAUUUCCGGACGGAGGGAGUACCUA
Molecule: non-coding RNA, 115 nt
Organism: Triticum aestivum (bread wheat)
Lineage: Eukaryota; Viridiplantae; Streptophyta; Magnoliopsida; Poales; Poaceae
Source: Rfam